This 235-nucleotide long non-coding RNA is filed under the name Homo sapiens (human). RNAcentral describes it as "HSALNT0361075". The record is from RNAcentral. Lineage: Eukaryota; Metazoa; Chordata; Mammalia; Primates; Hominidae.
CCAACAUACAUUUUGUCUUCUAUAAAAUAUCUGUGCCCCUGCUGAAUGCAUCUGUGGGUGGCUGCAUCUGUGUCUGUAUGUCAUGGAGAAUAAUUAUCGACAGAUCACAGAUACAGAUCUCAGAGGUGAACUGUGUAUGCAUUCCCGUAAUUUCCUCAUCUCGUAAGGAUCUGAAUUUUAAUCUUGGAUAUAGGCGCUUUCCCUUAUCUUUUAUAACAGAGGUUGGAAAUCCCAG